Helianthus annuus (common sunflower) is the source of this 278-nucleotide long non-coding RNA. RefSeq lists it as uncharacterized. Lineage: Eukaryota; Viridiplantae; Streptophyta; Magnoliopsida; Asterales; Asteraceae. The record is from RefSeq and is a predicted model, not a curated record. The transcript has 2 exons.
AUAAAAACUGCAGAGUUGGUAAAGCAGGGUGUGUUUCUUAUGCAUGUUUUCAGUAAGCUUUUGCUCCAAAUAUUAUAGCUUGAUUCCUUGAAACCAAAGGAAAGUGGUGAUUAUAUAAAGAUAUGUGUUGGAUGAUAAAGGCAAUAGAAAACCUGGAGAGAUCGCAAGUAACGGUGAAGCCGAUGAUGACAUGAUAAAAGGAAGAGGCUUAGAUGCCAACUAUUGUAGUUGCCGAUAGAAGGUUUUUUUCUGUCUAAUCCAAUUGUCUCAUUAUGUUU